UAACACGUAUGCAAUUUACCUCUAACUGGGGAAUAGCCUUCCGAAAGGAAGAUUAACACCGCAUAACAUUUCUGAAGGACAUCCUUCGGUUAUCAAAACUCAGGUGGUUAGAGAUAAGCAUGCGUCCGAUUAGCUAGUUGGUGAGGUAAUGGCUCACCAAGGCAACGAUCGGUAGGGGGUCUGAGAGGAUGAUCCCCCACACUGGUACUGAGACACGGACCAG
RNAcentral lists this ribosomal RNA (223 nucleotides) under uncultured bacterium. RNAcentral describes it as "partial 16S ribosomal RNA". It matches the Rfam family "Bacterial small subunit ribosomal RNA", at positions 111 to 334 of the family's 1533-position model. The record is from RNAcentral.